Pelodiscus sinensis (Chinese soft-shelled turtle) is the source of this 190-nucleotide non-coding RNA. NCBI's taxonomy places the organism in Eukaryota, Metazoa, Chordata, Testudines, Trionychidae. The record is from RefSeq and is a predicted model, not a curated record.
GGGUGAGGUUUGGGCUCAGCGCUGGGAGGAGAUGUGUGAAGAGCUUGUGUGCUGGUGGAGAAAGGAACGUGCCAACCCUGCUGUGUCUCUCCUGCUAGUGCCCCAGAGGGACCAGACCGCAUGCUUGGCAAGCCAGCUGAGGCCAGACCAAAGGUCCAUCCAGCCCAGUACCUGUCUGCCAACAGUGGCC